Molecule: small RNA, 955 nt
Filed under: Pongo abelii (Sumatran orangutan)
Lineage: Eukaryota; Metazoa; Chordata; Mammalia; Primates; Hominidae
Description: processed transcript
Source: RNAcentral
UGGACUAUUGGCUUCAACAUGAGACUAAUCCAGGAUGGUGACAUGCCGGUCUUUGUAGUUCUUGCUUCGGGGUUAAUGAGGGGCAGGAAAGAGUUCCUUAGAUUCCUGCAUGGCAUCAUGAAUGCUGCUGUUCUUCUUACUUUGGUUUUUUUCCUCCUCCUCUACCUUUUCUACCUUGGUGUGCUGGGAUCAGAUCCUGCUUAUCUUCCACUUCUUAAGAAAAGCUGACAUAGAAGACACAUUGGGACUAUAACAGGGCUGGGUCUCCUCUUCCACUCCCACUAGACACAUGCUGCAGUACAUCAGAGAGUUUGUCACCAGUUAAGCAGGCUCCUCGGAAGUCUCCCUCCGACACUGAGGGUCUUGUAAAGAGUCUGCCUUCUGGAUCUCACCAGGGCCCAGUCAUAUAUGCACAGUUAGACCACUCCGGCGGACAUCAUAGUGACAAGAUUAACAAGUCAGAGUCUGUGGUGUAUGCGGAUAUCCGAAAGAAUUAAGAGAAUACCUAGAACAUAUCCUCAGCAAGAAACAAAACCAAACUGGACUCUUGUGCAGAAAAUGUAGCCCAUUACCACAUGUAGCCUUGGAGACCCAGGCAAGGACAAGUACAUGUGUACUCACAGAGGGAGAGAAAGAUGUGUACAAAGGAUAUGUAUAAAUAUUCUAUUUAGUCUUCCUGAUGUGAGGAGCCAGUGUUGCAUGAUGAAAAGAUGGUAUGAUUCUACAUAUGUACCCAUUGUCUUGCUGUUUUUGUACUUUCUUUUCAGGUCAUUUACAAUUGGGAGAUUUCAGAAACAUUCCUUUCACCAUCAUUUAGAAAUGGUUUGCCUUAAUGGAGACAAUAGCAGAUCCUGUAGUAUUUCCAGUAGACAUGGCCUUUUAAUCUAAGGGCUUAAUCAGUCUUAGCAUUUAUUGUAGUUGGAGGAUGGAGAUGCUAUGAUGGAAGCUUACCCAG